RNAcentral lists this non-coding RNA (29 nucleotides) under Mus musculus (house mouse). Lineage: Eukaryota; Metazoa; Chordata; Mammalia; Rodentia; Muridae. The record is from RNAcentral.
UCCUUCAUAGGAGUUGCCUUGGUCGCGGU